ACGCUCGACACCUACGGGGGCAGCAGUGGGGAAUAUUGCACAAUGGGGGAAACCCUGAUGCAGCGACGCCGCGUGGAGGAAGAAGGUCUUCGGAUUGUAAACUCCUGUUGUUGGGGAAAAAAGAGGAUGGUACCCAACAAGGAAGUGACGGCUAACUACGUGCCAGCAGCCGCGGUAAUCUGAGCGGGCUGGCAAGGC
RNAcentral lists this ribosomal RNA (198 nucleotides) under uncultured bacterium. RNAcentral's name for it is "partial 16S ribosomal RNA". It matches the Rfam family "Bacterial small subunit ribosomal RNA", at positions 328 to 539 of the family's 1533-position model. The record is from RNAcentral.